This 200-nucleotide ribosomal RNA is filed under the name uncultured bacterium. RNAcentral's name for it is "partial 16S ribosomal RNA". It matches the Rfam family "Bacterial small subunit ribosomal RNA", at positions 8 to 195 of the family's 1533-position model. The record is from RNAcentral.
AGAGUUUGAUCCUGGCUCAGGACAAACGCUGGCGGCGUGCGUAACACAUGCAAGUCGGACGGGGCUUAUGUUCUCGAGUGAUCGAGAGGAUGAGUCGAGUGGCGGACGGGUGAGUAACACGUGGAUAACCUACCCUGGUGUGGGGGAUACCCUGUAGAAAUACGGGCUAAUACCGCAUGCGGUCGCUUUCGGGUUGCCGA